Molecule: RNA transcript, 1182 nt
Organism: Mugil cephalus (flathead mullet)
Lineage: Eukaryota; Metazoa; Chordata; Actinopteri; Mugiliformes; Mugilidae
Gene name: exendin-3-like
Exons: 5
Source: RefSeq, a predicted model, not a curated record
CGGCCUCAACAAUGUCCCAAGAUGGCGGCUCACGCUACAGGUUAGGAGUCGUGCUGUUGGCGUCAGACACUAGAGCGACGUUUCUUCGCACCUGCGACUGUCAGUGAGUGGGCUCUGACCAUUGACCUUUGCGGAGAGUGCAGACGAUUCGAGUUCAGCUCGGCUACGAUCUGCAGCGUUGUAAUGAGAAAGAGGGUCGUUAGCUGUGGCAGAUGACCCGCGUGUCACACUGGGACACCUGCUGUUUUUAUAAAAUGACAGAGACAAUCAGUAGGCGCAGUUUAUCUUGAAGGUAUUGUUUCGAGGCGUAACAGCACUUCUCCCUGGCUUCAUCAACAUUUUACUGCACGUGCACCAGGCAAUUAACUACAGCACUUCACUGGAGACAGAUUAAGUUUCCCCCAAGGUGAUCUCAGGAUGAACUUACUCCUGUGGUGUAUGCUGAUCUUUUUUCUUUGCUCAAGCACUAAAGAGAUGGCCGUGGGUACACACAGACCAUUAAAGUAUUUAUCUAGGUGGCAUUCGUAUCGGAUGGCGAAAGGACAGAACAUUAUCCGAAACUUCAAAAGGCAUUCAGAUGGAACGUUCACCAGCGACCUGACCAACUAUCUGGACAAGAUGAAGGCUAAAGAUUUUGUAGAGUGGUUGACCAGCACCAAACGAGAAGGAUGUCGUGAAGAAGUGCUCCACAUUGCAGCUGAAGUAUAAGACACCACAGUUAAGAUGUAUGUUUGUCACUGCUUCAUGCCAUCUGGCAGCGUAAAAGACUCCUCUGCAACAACACAGACGAUAUCCAUCAAUUUAUGUACUGAGAGGUAUUCUUGGAUAAAAGCUAUAAGUGUGGUGUUUUUUGUUAUUGUUGUUGUUGUUUUUGUAAGAAAAAAACAACAACACAGUAUGUGAUAUUUUGAAAUGUUCAAAUUAUUUUCUUUGAAACUGAACGUCAGCGACAGGUCUGUACAAGAAAAUACUUUUUUUUAAUACUGUUUUAUUUAUUUUUAUUUAUUUUCUUUGCCAUAUGAAUAAACUCAGAUGCACAAUGAAAAAGUAUAUUUUGAAAUAAUCGAUUUUGGGGUCUGAAUGCAUUGUGAAUUCACCUACGAAUGCCUUGGAUAGUGUGUUGCACAUGAAUGUAUUUUCAAAUAACUUAAGAUUGUAGAAUAAAAUCGUAUAAAGCCGCCA